Molecule: ribosomal RNA, 115 nt
Filed under: Lepisosteus oculatus (spotted gar)
Lineage: Eukaryota; Metazoa; Chordata; Actinopteri; Semionotiformes; Lepisosteidae
Source: RNAcentral
GCCAGCAGCAUAUCACCCUGCAGCUCAGAGCUAGCAACCCACCAAAGCUAAGCAGGUGAGCUUGGCCAGUACCUGGAUGGGAGACCUCCUGGGAAAACUAAGGUUGCUGCUGGAA